CAGCCGCCGCGGGAAUACGGAGGGGGCUAGCGUUGUUCGGAAUUACUGGGCGUAAAGCGCACGUAGGCGGCUUGGUAAGUUAGAGGUGAAAGCCCGGAGCUCAACUCCGGAAUUGCCUUUAAGACUGCCGAGCUAGUAGGUGAGAGAGGUAAGUGGAAUUCCGAGUGUAGAGGUGAAAUUCGUAGAUAUUCGGAAGAACACCAGUGGCGAAGGCGGCUUACUGGCUCAUUCUAGACGCUGAGGUGCGAAAGCGUGGGGAGCAAACAGGAUUAGAUACCCCAGUAGUCCCUGUCUCUUAUAC
This 301-nucleotide ribosomal RNA is filed under the name uncultured bacterium. RNAcentral describes it as "partial 16S ribosomal RNA". It matches the Rfam family "Bacterial small subunit ribosomal RNA", at positions 509 to 807 of the family's 1533-position model. The record is from RNAcentral.